GGGGAGGAAUGUCUUUGCCUGCAACAUGCAGGUUUGGAAACUCUCUGAGAUGGGAACUGGCUUGCAGCAUGCUUUGAGGUGACAGAUUUGUUGACAUGAGAAUCAAAGUUUUUAGGACUUGCUGGAAUUCACCUUAUUGUGGGAGCUAAUAUAGUUGUAUUGACUUGCAUGUGGCCAAAGAAUCUCUUUGAGGGAGCCAUGGAGUCCCCAUUUCCUGAGGCAUUGAUGAGCAGUUUGGAUGGAGAAUGGCCAGGAGCAAAUCUGCUGUUGGAGGAAGUACCCUGAACAAGUUCAUUUGGGGCCAAAAACCUGAAGGAGCUGCUUGGGGAGCUGCAAGGCUGGCGGGGUUCCUGCAGACUUUGUGAGCCAUGCCCAGGACAGACUAUUCUGUUAGUCUCUUUUUAAAUAAAUGAUUAGAGCUGGCUGAGACGAUCUGCAAGCAAGAUUCUGCAGUCUCACAGGCUCCAAGAGACUGUGCACUUGGACUGUGAUUUGUUCCUCUGUAUUUACUCUUCCCAAAUUAAUUUUAUUUGUAUUGGGGAUUCACCCAGAAGUCUUAAUUAGGAUGAAAAUUAUUGUGUGAAGACAAAUCCAACCACAAACACCAAAUAGUCAGUUGACAAGUGAGCUUUAGCAUCUAAUUUCUCAUGCUUUAAGGAUGACUGAGGGUGGGGGUUUUGAUGGAGAGCUCGUGCAUGGUGAUGUCCAACAGCCAUGAGGAAACCUCAGCUUGGUUUCCUCAGACCACCAGGAAGAGAAACAUCCCAAGCUGCUGACUUUAAUGCCAUGGUGUCUCUUCUGGAAAAGAUUGGAAGAUAAUUUUGUUGUUGCAGGUUCUUAGGUGGCUCUUGUACAUACAAAGAUGUCUUUUUUCAUGCCAGCAAUGGCAAUCCAUAGACAAACAUGAGUAUUUUCUGCUUAUCACAUUCUGGCUGGAAUUCUGCUGACCAGGUACCCACCAAACAAAGGAAGAUUGAAGCUGUGUGUCACAUGGAACCCUAGGAGGAGGUUACAACUAUUCCUCAACUUGUAGUGAGCUGCAAAAGUUUGCACCAAAUCAGCUGAGAACUGUAAAAUAAGAGCUGAGGAGCAGGGGAGAUGUCCACAGGUUACAAGGCCACAUUUGGGUUUAUCCCUUCCCAGUUAUUCAAGCUGCUCCAUAGAUGGCUACAAAUUCUUCCCUUUCAUAGAAAUUAUGUGGAAAGGAUGUUUCCUGACAAAGCUGGACUUGCUGCAGAAUUCAAACCUGUGACAUUUCAUAGGACACUGCAAAACCCAGCCAAAAUAAACCUGGGCUUAGGGGGUGUGUAAGUAGCACAGCAAUGCACAGCAUGUCAUACAGAUGGUCUUAGGCAAAUAAAGGGGGGAUCUGUGGGGGCACAGCAGUGCUGCCUUGUUGUGGGGUUCUGUUUCCUUUAUUUUGCUAUUGUGCCACCAUGAAUGGGUCCUUGGUGUAUUCUGUUUCAGGGCUGUUCAUUUUUUUUCCCUCCCAAUUGGAAGCAAUAGCCCUGGGAAUCUUUUGCUCUGUUUUAGAAGAGAAACUGUGGCAAAAAAAUGGGUCUGUAACUCAAAUGCUUUACUUGGAGCUGGCUGGGGAAAUAACAUGCUCAGUCUGGUGAAGCAGUGUAGGUUUUGUGAGCUGUCUAGA
Molecule: long non-coding RNA, 1648 nt
Organism: Passer domesticus (house sparrow)
Lineage: Eukaryota; Metazoa; Chordata; Aves; Passeriformes; Passeridae
Exons: 3
Source: RefSeq, a predicted model, not a curated record